RNAcentral lists this ribosomal RNA (457 nucleotides) under uncultured Streptococcus sp. Its description in RNAcentral is "bacterial SSU rRNA". It matches the Rfam family "Bacterial small subunit ribosomal RNA", at positions 925 to 1382 of the family's 1533-position model. Lineage: Bacteria; Bacillati; Bacillota; Bacilli; Lactobacillales; Streptococcaceae. The record is from RNAcentral.
ACAAGCGGUGGAGCAUGUGGUUUAAUUCGAAAGCAACGCGAAGAACCUUACCAGGUCUUGACAUCCCGAUGCUAUUUCUAGAGAUAGAAAGUUACUUCGGUACAUCGGUGACAGGUGGUGCAUGGUUGUCGUCAGCUCGUGUCGUGAGAUGUUGGGUUAAGUCCCGCAACGAGCGCAACCCCUAUUGUUAGUUGCCAUCAUUCAGUUGGGCACUCUAGCGAGACUGCCGGUAAUAAACCGGAGGAAGGUGGGGAUGACGUCAAAUCAUCAUGCCCCUUAUGACCUGGGCUACACACGUGCUACAAUGGUUGGUACAACGAGUUGCGAGUCGGUGACGGCGAGCUAAUCUCUUAAAGCCAAUCUCAGUUCGGAUUGUAGGCUGCAACUCGCCUACAUGAAGUCGGAAUCGCUAGUAAUCGCGGAUCAGAACGCCGCGGUGAAUACGUUCUCGGGGUUU